ACAUAACUAUAGGUAGGUAUCCAUAGCGAUUUCUGCUCCAUGUGAAAAUAAAUAGCCGCAGUACCCUGACUGUGCUAAGGUAGCAUAAUCAAUAGGCUUAUAAUUUAAGUCUGGUAUGAAGGAAGAUUUGGGGGUUUCCUGUCUCACCUGAAGUAGAUGGAAUUUUUUUAAAAAGUGCAAAAACUUUUAGAUAAUCAUUAGACGAGAAGACCCUAGAAAUUUUUUAACAUAUUUUGUUGGGGCGACAAAGUAACAAUUAACUUACUUAUAUUUAUCUGAAGUGGAUAUACAGAAUGUAAAAAUUACUCUAGGGAUAACAGCAUAAUUUCUGCGAAGUUUGUGACCUCGAUGUUGGACUAGGUAUUAUUAAGUUUAGAAGAUUUAA
Molecule: ribosomal RNA, 385 nt
Filed under: Praticolella salina
Lineage: Eukaryota; Metazoa; Mollusca; Gastropoda; Stylommatophora; Polygyridae
Description: partial 16S ribosomal RNA
Rfam family: Archaeal large subunit ribosomal RNA
Source: RNAcentral